Molecule: long non-coding RNA, 1300 nt
Organism: Suricata suricatta (meerkat)
Lineage: Eukaryota; Metazoa; Chordata; Mammalia; Carnivora; Herpestidae
Exons: 2
Source: RefSeq, a predicted model, not a curated record
GCAGGGCAUGCUCCCACUGCACCGUCGCCGCUCAGGGUUAAGCCCCUCCGGUUCCGUCCGCCUGGACGCGGGACGCGGUUAGCACGAGGGGCCGGGCAGCAACAGAGGGCGCGCGCAGCGCGGACAACGGUCUGACCUGGGGCGGGGGGUGCGGGACCCCAGAGGCCUACAAAUACACUGGGCGUCGGCGCUGGAAGCCCCCCUGCGCCAGGGCCCAGCCACGACAAACCUGGGGCAGGGAUUCUUUGUUGGCAGGAGGCUUCGAUCUGAUGCGGGACCCCUGAGGGGCCAAGCCUGGACCAUGGACAAGUGUGAGCACUUGGGGAAAGGAAGUGGCCGGGAGCUGGAGGCAAGAGCCCGUCCCUUGACUCCCCCUCGAAGAAAUCCCCAGAGGCCAUUUCCUGGGUGCAGACCCCAGACUCCUCUCUCCUUGGCCAAGAAUCCAGAGGACGUGGGCCGCAGCCAUGUCCGUUGCUGGCAACUCUAAGGGGGCUCGCCUCCUUUCUCGGACAGCAGAGGCGCCGCUGGCAAGCUAAAGUUCUGGACGCCGAUUGGGUGAAAUCUGAGACGCGUGGAGAUUCCUAGCUCCUUAUUGGCUAUGAUCGCGCUAGACUGUAGCUAAAACCGUCCCUCUGGGAGCCUGGCGGAAUUAGACGCCGAGUGGUGCGGGAGGGAGAGUAGGGAGCCACUGUCCUGCCUUGGACAUGUUACUCUGGCGCUUUCAGGACCAGAGGUCCUGAGUAGAGGCGAGGGCACGGCUUCCACCUCAGUUACUUUCCCUACGUAAUUAUCCAAAAGAGAUGGACAGAACCCUGCCCCCGCCACUUUCUUUCUUUCUUUUUAAAAUCAGCCCUUUUGCAGAGCGCCCGAAUCUCCUCCUCCCAAGUUCCCUUCUUGUUGCUGUGAACAAAUGCCUGGAGACAUCUGGCUCAGAGACCUUGGAGGGACUCCCUCAGAGACUAAUACUGCAUCCAAACCAAAGCUGGAGAAUCUGAGACAAUACUUGAGUUUGCCCUUCAACUCAGCUGUACUCUAAAGGGAAAAACAAGUUAAAAAAAAAAAUUUCCCUAGAUAAUUAGAGAAAUCGUGUAGGAGAGCUCUCUUGGGAAAACAAAGCAAGCCUGUGUCAGUAUUUACUUCUGUUUUCCCAGAGAUGGAAGUCUGGAGGCUUGGUUUUUGUGUUUUGUUUUUCAAUCUGUUUAUAAAAUCGGAAGAGGGUCAUCAUAGCUGGCCCUGGGAAGUAAGAACCCCUUUCCCCUGUUAAUGAAUUUAAUUAUGUAAUUAAAAUUUCUCUUCUCAA